UAGUGGAGGGAGUCUCUUUCAACGACACAUGAUGUCCAUUUGUGUCCCCAUUAAUUCAACUCCAACUGAAACUAAAAUCCAAUUGAAAAUAACAAAAUGCGCUACGCGUUUUCCCCCUCCCCAAAUUUCACUUCCCUCCUCCCCCAAUUUUCGACUUCCCUCUUCAAUUGAAACCCACCAUAAAAGAAAUGUUGUUGUUUCAUUCCCUCUAUUUCCGUUUUUCAGUUGUAAUAGAAAGAAAAAAACAAACUCGAGCUAAAAACACAAUCGAUCUGAUUCGACUUGGCGGAGAAGGCGGCAACUUGUAACAAUCAUCGGAUUUGAGAGAUUCUGAGUUCAGAUCGUAGUAAGAUAGAAGGUUGAGGAGUCAAUAACUCUAAAAUCAGAGCUUUAGAAGAUGCGGACUUUUAGGUAUUGUUAUCUCCCUAAUUUUCAAUGGUUGGGUACUCAGAUUUAUGGGUUUAUGGUUGGGGAUUACAUUGUUUAUUUUCAUUUCAUGGAUACUCUCGGUUUGAAGAGUAAUUGCUUCUUUGAAUCCUCUUGUGGCUGGAGGAUAGAUAUGGGUCUCGAACUAACCAGUCACAUACAAGCCAAAGUUCAUUAGUUCCUUGAAGGACAAUUUAAAUGCAGAGGUGGCACCUGGAACUGUCACUGAUGUCAAGAAAGCUUGUGCAUGGCUUGGAUAUAUAGACCUUUUUAUAAGGAUGAGGCUCAACCCUUUGGCAUACGGUAUCGCAUGGGAGGAGGUACUGUGUGUUGAUUACACUUAACCUAUAUAGUUGACCAGUUGACCAUCGUUGAAUGUUGAUGGCUUUUCUCCAAACUACAUUAUGCUUAGUUCACUUGAAUUUAGGUGCUUAUACAGGAAAAUUUUCUUUUGCAUUUUGCAUGUUAUGGCAGAUCCUUCCUUGAGUUUAAAGCAGAGAUCUCUGUAGCAGAUGCUGCGUGUGCCCUUGACAAAGCAAAAAUGAUGCGGUUUGACGAGAAAAGUGGCAAUUUUUAUUGUAUAGAGCUUGGUCGCAUAGCAAGCCACUUUUAUAUUCAAUACUCUAGUGUUGAAACCUACAAUGAAAUGUUGAAGCCUCACAUGAAUGAGACUGAGGUAAUUGUUUUCUUUAAUAAACUUGUAUUGGAUUUGUGUGUGUUCAACAUUACCAUCACCCAAUUUUUUUCAACAAAAGUAUCUUUCCAAGUAAAUAAUAUAUCCCCUAGAGAUGCUGUUUGUUGUGGACUGAUCAUGCGCUUGUUAAAAGAAUGAGCUGGAAACUCGUAGUGUUUGUUAGUUGCGGGAACCCACUAGAGCCUUUAAAAGCGUGUCUUCAUAGGAAAACUGUAUGGGUGAUCCAUCCAUGACUAGUAAUAUUACUGUCUUAUGAUGUUUGAUAUCAUUGUACUCUUCUUGCUGGUCCUCCAUUUAAUAAGCCUACUGUC
This is a long non-coding RNA of Rosa chinensis, 1431 nucleotides long. RefSeq lists it as uncharacterized. NCBI's taxonomy places the organism in Eukaryota, Viridiplantae, Streptophyta, Magnoliopsida, Rosales, Rosaceae. The record is from RefSeq and is a predicted model, not a curated record. The transcript is spliced from 3 exons.